This 717-nucleotide ribosomal RNA is filed under the name Burkholderia sp. Bac9C. RNAcentral's name for it is "bacterial SSU rRNA". It matches the Rfam family "Bacterial small subunit ribosomal RNA", at positions 30 to 739 of the family's 1533-position model. The record is from RNAcentral. Lineage: Bacteria; Pseudomonadati; Pseudomonadota; Betaproteobacteria; Burkholderiales; Burkholderiaceae.
UGAACUUGGCGGCAUGCCUUAACAUGCUCUUCCGUAACGGCAGAACGGGUGCUUGCACCUUCCUGGCGAGUGGCGAACGGGUGAGUAAUACAUCGGAACAUGUCCUGUAGUGGGGGAUAGCCCGGCGAAAGCCGGAUUAAUACCGCAUACGAUCCAUGGAUGAAAGCGGGGGACCUUCGGGCCUCGCGCUAUAGGGUUGGCCGAUGGCUGAUUAGCUAGUUGGUGGGGUAAAGGCCUACCAAGGCGACGAUCAGUAGCUGGUCUGAGAGGACGACCAGCCACACUGGGACUGAGACACGGCCCAGACUCCUACGGGAGGCAGCAGUGGGGAAUUUUGGACAAUGGGCGAAAGCCUGAUCCAGCAAUGCCGCGUGUGUGAAGAAGGCCUUCGGGUUGUAAAGCACUUUUGUCCGGAAAGAAAUCCUUGGCUCUAAUACAGCCGGGGGAUGACGGUACCGGAAGAAUAAGCACCGGCUAACUACGUGCCAGCAGCCGCGGUAAUACGUAGGGUGCAAGCGUUAAUCGGAAUUACUGGGCGUAAAGCGUGCGCAGGCGGUUUGCUAAAACCGAUGUGAAAUCCCCGGGCUCAACCUGGGAACUGCAUUGGUGACUGGCAGGCUAUAGUAUGGCAAAGGGGGGUAGAAUUCCCCGUGUAACAUUGAAAUGCGUAAAGAUGUGGAGGAAUACCGAUGGCUAAAGCAGCCCCCUGGCCCAAUA